Prunus avium (sweet cherry) is the source of this 1815-nucleotide non-coding RNA. Lineage: Eukaryota; Viridiplantae; Streptophyta; Magnoliopsida; Rosales; Rosaceae. The record is from RefSeq and is a predicted model, not a curated record.
CUCCUUCAGAUCGAACUAUGCUUCUGUUUCUUCCUCAGAGGCGCCUGGUUCAAUCUCAACCAGCUGGUUCGUCAGAUUCAAGGGCAGAGAUGGAAGAGAUGGGUUGGUUUUUUGGAUGUCUGCAUCUGGAGGCUUCGAUAUUUUUAUAGAGCGUCAUUGUUUUCUUCGUCAAUCACCGACUUCCUUGCCUUCUUCUCCAUCAGCUUCAGUGUUCACCGACUUCCUUGCCUUCUUCUUCUCCAUCAGUUUCGGUUUCCAUUCGUUAUCCCCGUCUGCUACUCGCCUGGCCUUAGCCUCUGUUCUUUCAUCCGUGCCCCUGUUCUGUGCUUGAAUACACCAAAAAGCAAGGGACUAGACAUUUGGAUUCUGCUGUCAUUUUCGAGCUUGGAUACACUAAAAAGCAAGGGACUAGACAUUUGGAUUCUGCUGUCAUUUUUGAGCUUUUGCAUACGUGUUGCUACAAGUGGUUAAUAAUUUCUCUUAUUACAGACAUCAAUCUGUUUUCGGGAAAUUGAAAUCUUCGUUGAUGAUGUCGAAGAGAACUAGAAAUACGACGAGAAAACAAAUCAUGCAACAACCUCAUAAUCUCAUCAUUUCAAAUGAUAUACAAGUCCCAAAUAAAAAUGUUUAUCAUAUUGAUGAUAAACAUCCAAGCGAGAAUUCCUAUCAACAACCAUCAAAACAUUUCUCAAGUUGAUAACAAAAAACAAAAAUGUGUUGGAAAUACAUUAUCUAUCAAUGUGAAUACAGUUGAAACAACAACAGAUGAAAUUGAGUUUCAUCAUUUUCAUCAAAUGCGUCAAGGUCAAGCGAUCUUUCAAAGAAACAGGCAAGAUAGAUGCAAUACAAGCUAGCAUCAAAGAUAUCGACUAUGAUUUCAUAGCUCCAAAAAUAAAAGCUGGUAGCAUUUAUGAAAUAACACAUUUCCACACUGGUCGCAACAAACCAUCACACAAAGUUGUACCACAUGUUGCACAGUUAUUCUUCAAAGCGAGAACAAUUUUCAAAGAACUACCAACCAUUCACGCACACAUUCCAAGGCAUCGGUUUUAUCUGGUCGAUUAUACUCAAUUAUCCACUCGCAUAGGCAAAAUUGACAUCCUAACAGAUGUUUUUGGACACAUUACUGGAAUACAGCCAUUGGAACAAAAAAUGGUCGGCCAUGAGAGGCUUGAGAAUAAAUAUGAACUUUGCAUUGAAAAUAUCAGGAAAGAAGAUGUUAGAAUUACCCUGUGGGGAGAUACUACAAAGACUUCUGAUUCUCAAGCUUUACAACAAUUGACAUCGCCAAUAUUUGCAGCUUUUACAAGACUGAAAGUAAACAAUUUCAAGCAUUUCUCUAAGUCAUGCUCAAACCAAAAACAAAUCUGAAAGAACUGUUACUACAAAAAGCAUGGAGAAAAUUGUAUCAGAUUCUAAUUUACCAAUCAUUGGCUUAAAGAAGAAAACAAGCGAAGGCAGUUUGUCUACCAAUUCUCCUGCCCCAAGAUUAGAGUUUGUAUUCUCUCUUUUAGGAUUCACUCAUCUCAUUCAAAUACAUAUUACAUGCAUAACAUUCAAUUAUUCAUACAUUCAUUCUUCAGUCAAUCUUUAUAUAUUAAAUUGUAACAAAUUGUGUUGAAUUUGACAAAAUCAUCAUUUUUGUGAUAUUCUGAUUGAUGCUUUGUUUUAAUAUUAGGUUCCUUUCAAUUAAUGUAUUAUAAAAUUAUCUCUAUUUAUUAUAUAGGUCUAAAAACCAUUUAAACCACUAUUGAAUUACAUAUAAAUGAAAUUUUUGCAUGCUGAACAUUUGGGAAUACUAUUAAAUUGUCAUAU